UGUCAAGUGUCACACUGCAUCCCAAUUCACAAGUAAGUGUAGCAUUUCUCAGUUAUUUUCCUGGAAUGUUUAGUUUAUUCAAUUCACCCAAUGUAGGUUAAUUAAUCUUAGAUGAGGAAAUAUAUUCACUACUAACUAGUUGCUUAAUAACAUGCAUGCUACUGUAAUGUCUGUUUUGGGUUUUGUUUCAUGUUCAUGUUUUCAUGUCACGUUUAUUUUGUUAUUGUUUGAUUUUGCUGUUUGUGUCAUGCUCCCCUUGCCAUCAUGUAUCUCUGCUUUGUGUAUGUGUCAUGUUCUCAUUGGUUAUUGUCUGGUCAUGUGAUUAUCAGUUCUGUUAGUUCUCAUUGGUUGCUUUAGUCAUGUGUCUUGUUCCCAUUUUGUUCUUGUCAUGUGGCCCUCAUUGUUUGUAUAAGUAGUCAUGUUUUUGCCAUUGUGUUUUGUCGUGUAUUAAUGUAACGUAAUGUUAAUGGAUUUUGGAUUACACCUUUGUAAAUAAACUGCACUUGGGUUCAUCUACACUCGCCUUCAGUGGACCGUUCGUUACAGAAUACACGACCACCAAUCAUGAACCCAGCAGUAUCACAGCUCCUCUGCCUUCGUCAGGGUAACCGAUCCAUUGAGGAUUAUGUCCAGGAUUUUUGUGGACUUUAUAACUGGGUGGACUAAUGAUGUGGCCCUGAAGGACAUCUUUCAGGUUGGUCUUAAUGAGCCCAUUUGCUCUCAGCUUCCUGGGGGGAAAGUUCACUGGUCCCUGGAGGAAUAUAUUGACCAUGCCCUUUUUCUGGUUGGUUCAUCAUUUACUGUGGGGAUUGCUGAUGAGGAACACUGCAAUCCUGCAGUAGCCACCAUGCCUGCCAAGCCAGCACCUGUUCACGUCAUGCCUGCUACGCCAGAGCCUACUCACAUCAUGCCAGUGUCUCAAGAGGUUCUCCACAACAUGGCCGCUAUUCAAGAGCUCCGUAGCAAAAUGACUGCCACUCAAGAGUCUCUUCAGAAAAUGGCCGCACUUCCAGAGCCUUGUCACACCUCAGCUGAACUUCCAGAGCCUCAUCACGCCUCAGCUGAACUUUCAGAGUCUCGUCACGUCUCAGCUGAUCAUCCAGGGUCUUGUCUCAACAUGGCCGCCAUUCCAGAGUCCCAUCACGUCAUGGCCGCCGUUCCAGAGUCCCCGGCCAAGAUGUCUCGUCAAGUCUUGGCAGUCACGGAGACUGUUCCUUUGGCCUCAGUACUUCUAGUAAUGGCAGUCGCCAUUUUGAGCGUGUGGGCUGCACACUGUGCUCCAGAGACUUUUCCUGUCCACGAGUCUGCUCCUGAGGCUUCUCCUGGCCCUGAAUUCACUCCAGUGCCCCCAGAGGCAGCAGCUUCCGCUGCAGAACCUCCAGAGGAGGCGGGGUCCACUACAGAACCUCCCAAAGUGGUGGCUCCAGGAGGCUGUCCACGAACUCUCUGCCUGUCCUGUAACGGUCCAUGUCCCUGCUCCACCAUGGCUUCCAGCUCUGCCUGCACCGCCUGGCCACCCCGCUGGGCCUGCACCGCCAUGGCUCCAUAUUGCUCUGGAUCUGCUCCACAGCCCAGGCCCCCCUCUGUUUCAUGGUCUGUCACUGCUCCACGGCCCAGUUCCCCCUCUGCUCCAUGGUCUGUCAUUGCCUCAUGA
Molecule: long non-coding RNA, 1654 nt
Organism: Cyprinus carpio (common carp)
Lineage: Eukaryota; Metazoa; Chordata; Actinopteri; Cypriniformes; Cyprinidae
Source: Ensembl